Long non-coding RNA from Manis pentadactyla (Chinese pangolin), 5184 nucleotides. RefSeq lists it as uncharacterized. The record is from RefSeq and is a predicted model, not a curated record. The transcript is spliced from 3 exons. NCBI's taxonomy places the organism in Eukaryota, Metazoa, Chordata, Mammalia, Pholidota, Manidae.
AGGAACGGAGAUUCAGGGGUACACAUUACAAACCACCUGCCCCUAGGCUUGAAAUCUUUUGUCUUGAUUUCUUAUUCUGAAAGCUGAAAAAAAGUGCUAUGGCUUUUCUUUACUGGGGACAAGGGAUGGGGGACAGAACAGGGGAAAACAUGGGUGGGAGCAUAUUUGCUUGAACAAUUAAAUAUAAAAUUAACAUAUGAUCCAGCAAUUUCACAUCUAGGGAUAUAUACCAAAAGAAAGGAAAGCAGGAAUUCAAAUAGAUAUUUGUACACAAAUGUUCAUAGCAACAUAAUGUCAAUAGCCAAAGGGUGGAGAUGAUUUAAGAGUCCAUCAGUGGAUGAAUGGGUGCACAAAAUUUAGUAUAUGCACACAAUGGAAUAUUACUCAGCCUUAAAAAGGAGUGAAAUUCUCAUGCAUGCUACGACAUGGAUAAAACCUAGACAUUAUGCUGAGCAAAAUAAAAGGGCAAAUUCUGUAUUAUUUCACUUCUAUGAGGUUCCCAAAGCAGUCACAUUCUUACAGACAGAAAGCAUAAUGGUGGUUGCCAGGUCUCGGGGAGGGGAGAUAGGGAGUUACUGUUUAGUGGGUACAGAUCAUCAGCCUGAAUUUCAAGAUGAUGCAGAAGUUCUGGAGAUGGAUGGUGGUGAUGGUUGUACAAUAGUGUUAGUCUACUUAAUGGCACUGAAUUGUACUGGAAAUGGUUAACGUGGCAACUUUUAUGCCAUGUGUACCUUAACUACAAUUUCUUAAAAGGGGAUAAAAAGAUCAUGACUACUUAUUUCCUAGGUAUAUCUCCACUAGACUGAAAGGGCUGUGAUGGCAGGGGCCACAUACUUAUAACCAUAUCCCCAGUGCUCUUCACGGUGCUGCCCACAGGAAGUUCUAGCUAAAUACUUAUUAAGUAAGUGAACCAGUGCUGGCCUGCUACUGUGGAGUGAGACUACCUGUGGCUUCCUCUGCCACAGUGCCUUGCUUUUUGACAACGCAGUCAUUGUCUGUUAGCUGCACUUGCAGACUGCCUCUAGACUAGGCAGCUCACUGAAGCUGGGCUAUAAGGGACAUAAGGGCCCAGCUUUCCCACCUUUCAGUCCUAUUGGCCAAUAAAAGAACAAGAUUAGAUAGUACAGACUCUGUAUUAUUGAAUAAUGCAGAAAAUGCCAUUUGGAAUUAGAAGAACUUCUCACAGUAGUAUAUAAUAGAGCACCUUUUAAUAUUUAAGAAUUUUAGAGCUAUCCAAGUGGAUUUCAGUCCUAUGUGGUCAUCAGCAUCAGCUAAGGAACUUGUUAAAAAUACACAUUCUCUGGAUAUUACCCUCUUGAUAUCUGAUUUAGUAGGUCUAGAAUGGGCUCUGGGAACCUCAAUGUUUAUUUGCUUAAGCUGUUAUGCAAAUAAGUUUGGAAAUCUUUGCUCUAAUCACUUCAUAAGUAUGUCUUGCUUACCAAAUGAUAAGCUCCACCAGGGCAAGAAAUGUGUCUUAUAUAAUGUGUGUAUCACCUACAGUGUCUAGGAGGUUAAUAAGUUCUGAGCUGAGUGAUUAAUAUCCCUCUAAGCAUAAAACAGUACAUGGCGCUGGGUCAACCUACAUCUACUCUAUCAUUCCAAUAACUCAAAACCUUAAGACCCAAAUGAAGUCAGCUCUUCAUUCUCAUGCAGAAAAAAAUAUAAAUAUAAGUAAAUAUAUUGCCUGUUGGAGCAAUAUCAGCAAGAGUGGAUUAUUCCUUUAGGUCCACAUCUGUUCUUUCAAAUACUUGGAAUUCAGCAGACUUAUGAAUAACACAUUUCAAAUUACAGGAGAGUCCAAGAGGCAAAAAACAGCAUAUUGUCAAGGCCAAGCAAUGUGUGUUUAAACUAGAACAGCUGCAGAUACAAAGCAACAAAGUUGAUUUAAAUAAUAAUGAUGCCCAUGAUUUGAAUUAUAAACAGUUGUUUUCUUGGCAAUAUAUGUUGUGACCAACCCUGAUUUAUAACUAGGAGAAGGUGAUCUUUCCUUGAUAAUCUACCACAAAAUUUCAUCAUUAUUUUGGAAUGAUGUCUAAAUUCUACUAGCAGCAACACAUUAUUUGUGCUUCAGAUAGUUUUCUGCCCUGAUAUCCCUUUUACAAUGCAAAUGCAUUGAUUUAGAAUUCAUUGAUACUUGAGUAUGAACUAGGUCAGCAUAUUGUAAAGUCAGAACUCUACAUUUAAGAAUACCUUUAGUUAAACAUUUUUGGUUAUGGUGAAAACUGUUAUCUUUUCUCUGACAGUCAAAAACAAAACUGCCUACUGUGGUUCUCAAAGUGUGGGCACUGGACAAAUCAUAUCAGCAUCAGUGGAAAACUUGUUAAAAAUGCAAAUUCUUGGGCUCAUCCUAAAACGACAGAAUCAGAAACUCUGAAGGUAGAGUCCAGUAAUCUGUGUUUUAACAGUCCUUCCAUUGAGUCUGAUGCUCACGAAAGUUUGAGAACCACUGUAUUAUGAUAUUACUGGUGAAGAAGGCUUUCAGUAAUGAAAUGUGCUUAUUUGAAAGCAGCAUUACUCAAACACAUUUGCCUUCAUACCCUUUUACAUGUAACAUCAAUAUCCAUGUAGUCUGCUUAAUGAAAUACACAUUAGAGAUUGUUACACCAGAUUAUGGAAAAGCGAAAUAUGUUAAUUGCACAACUGGCAACAUAUAAUGACAAGAGCAAACACUUAUUGCAUUAUACUCUGUGCCAGCCCCCAGGAAUACUGUGGUAGAUCUGUUAGACAUGAUCCCUUUCUCACUAGGAUAAACAAUGAACAUAUAGAGAAUGUAAUGUAUGAAGUCCACACAGUAUAGAUAAUGUAAAGGGCAAAUUAAGAGGAACAAUGGACAAUUCAGCAUUAUUUGUGUCCUUAAUUUCUUUUGCAAGGCAUUCUCAUCCUUCUCUUGUCCUCAUUGCCUUGGCUGUGGGGACUAAAGCACCUGCCUUCAGCAGAUAUAAUCAGAUUUUACUCAGAAGCACUCUUAGGAAGUCCUAAGUACAAAGGCUUUAGAAAGGUCAUGGUUACCAAAAAGGCUGGUGCUGUGGUCUGAAUGUUUGUGUCCUCCCAAAACUCGUAUGUUGAAAUUCCAACUCUCAGAUACUAUUAGUAGGUGGGGCUUUUGGGAGGUACUUAAGCCAUGAGGGUAGAGCACUCCUGAGUGGGAUUAGUGCCCCAUAAAAGAGAUCCCACAGAGCUCCCUUGCCUCUUCCACCCUGAGGACACAGUGCAAAGUUGGCAGUCUGCAUCCCAGAAGAGGGCUUUCACCACAUCCAGAGCCUGACAGCCUUCAGAACUACUCAGAAUGUUAGAUCCAACUUACACAGCUCUUCUGGCUAGAUGAUCCAUCAGUAACCACUGAUCCUGAAAAGAUGACUCAGCACAACUUCAUACCUCUUCUUAGAAUCUCCCCCUCUGCCUCCUCUCCCUCUCCCUGUCUAAGAAGAGUCAGAAACAGCAGACUACAAGAAUUACAGAGCAACAUGAGUGAGCUCCUGCAAGUCUUUGAAGCCUACAAAGCAAUUUUUUUUCUUUGGCCAAAUUCUUUUGGCAGAGAAAAGUGGAAGACAGAAGGCCAUGGAAAUGUGCCAGAUGACCACCUAAGGGGCAUUGAUUUACUACUUGGAGAGUGACCAGUCAACACUGUGUGGCCUGAGAGCAUGGAUUUUGGAAUGAGACACACCUGGAUUUCAUUCCUGUCUCCACUAUUAUUCUUUACAUAAUUUAACAUUACUGACUCUUUGGUUUAACAUCUGUAAAGUAAGGACAAACACCAAGCAUACUUAACUAGCUGUGAGAGCUAAAGAGGUAACACAAUGUUUAUGAUAAUAAUAAAAAGCAUACAUGGAGCACUUACUAUGUUAAGUGUUUUACACAGAUUCUGUCAUUCAGUCCUUCUAAGAAUGCUAGGAGGAGUACACGGUUCUAUUCCAUUCUAUGGAUGAGAAUACGCAGACACAGAGUGUUUAAGGAACUUAAUCAAGGUCAAAGAGGCUUUAAUGGCGGAUCUGGGAUUCACUCAUGAGCAGACUCCCUUCAGAGCCACAGUUAUUAACUAUUAACUGCUCUUCCUUACCGUUCAGAUCCCUUUCAGCUCUGAAAUGCUAUGAUUCUAGGUCUCAUAUAACAAGUGUGCCUUCUAACACAGACACUGGCAGCUUAACUGAUUGUGGCAGUACAAAAUGUUAUACUUUCUGAUCAUAAAUAGAUACAUGCAUGUGUACAUGAAGGCAUGUAUCUGUCUGAGCAAGCAUUACAGUCACAGUGGAACCUAAUGCUGAUGGGUGAAUUGUAUUCAAAACAUUCUGCCAUGCUCCUGUGCCCAGCCCUCCAAACCAUCACCUCCAGAGCAGAGAUGGACAUUUGCAUUCUGUAUGGAAGCCAGAGACCAAUCUCAUUUUCCUUGCCCAACAAGUGGAAAAAAAAUACUCCAGCUUGAUUAGGAUAUGCAGAGAAGACCCACUCUCUGCACCAGGAGCCUUGAGAUUCCUUUUUAUUGUGUGUUUCUUUUUCUUUUUUUUCCCUCCCAGAGCCUCUUACUGAGGAGUGUCAGGCCAGCUCUGCUUUGCAGCAACACUAUGUUCUCAAUUUAUAACCUUCAUUACUUUUAUUUAGAGCCCCUCAGAACUGUUAGAAAGUUGCAGCCAAUUCACAAGCUUGAUUAACUUGGCCUCUAUCCUCGCUUUUUUGGAUACCUCCAGCUCAAUUCUUUCUGAGACUUUUUGUGUCUGGGAUUACUCAAUUGCCAUUAUUUUGGGCUGAUGUCAUGGGAGAGGAAGGGGAGAGACUAUUUGAAGGAUUUCAUUAUUUACUUUUCAUUAAUUUUGUUACCUAAACUACUGACUGAAGCAGUAUCUCAAGCUACAGCUAUCCUGCAGCACACACAAUCUGGAAGAGUAUACUGCUUCAAAUCAACUGAUGAAAGAAAAAGAUACACCCCCACAACUCUUAUCUACACUUUGUCCUCAUGUACCUCUUCAAACUUUAAGACUGGAAUGAAAACUGCAAUCUGGCUAACUACAAUUCCAGGCUCUGUACCACACAUUAACAUUAAUUCCUUUGUUUUACACACAAAUCUUGUGAAAUGAGUAACACUAUCCCCAUUUUAUGAGUCAACUCAAGUUCAGAGAAGUUCAGAGAUACAUUUAGGACUGCACGGAAAGGAAGUGGCUGAAAUGGUAUUUAAUCCACUUCAAUCUUCAC